AGGCAUAACUUGCACAACAUCAAAGUAAUAACAUGUCACAAAUAAACACUCAAUCGUUGAAUCAUGACAUCAAUUAAAUGCAUCAAAUUAACUAAGUUAAUCUAACCUACAUAAAGAUAAAAAAUCAAGAUAAGAUAUUACCCCCUUAAACCAACCCACCAUAUUGAAAAGACGAAAUCUCAGAAUUUGGAUCCUAGCUGAUCCCCCAUGCCACUACGAAACCAUAGCUUCUAACGGUGCGUCAUUUGGAGUUCAAACGAUUGUGUUAUGCACGUACUCCUUUGCAACAAACUUACACUCAUAGGGGAAGAACUGUCAUUCACGGGUCAGUUUGGUAAAUUCCAGCACCAGUCCUCCAACUCUGGCUAUUUCAGAUCAGUCCCUGAACAGUCAUAAUUUGCAGAUCAGUCACCUAUCUUUCAGAGAGUACAGCCCUGUCGCUUAACUUAUAGAAACUAUACUGAGGUCACUUAUCUUUUUCACGUUGCAGAAGGGUCAUUCUUUCUCGAUAGAUGCAGUUCUCGCCGGCGACGUCCAGCGUUCUUGGGGAACAGGUUUUUCGAUCGGCUUCCCUCGCGUUCUACCCACGGUGAAUCCCAAGUACUAUGUCGUUGCUAUCGGGUAGGUAUUGCCUCGAUCUCCAAUUCUGAUUUCCAUCCACGGCGCCGACGCCGAUCCCGUCUCUUAGUCAUCUCGAUUCUCCCUUCAUCUCCCGAUUGAUACAACUAGCGGCCUCUUCACCUGGAAGAUUGGAACCCACGUUCGGAAGCCAUCUCUCCCCGGUUGAUUAUCCUCCAUUUCCACUCUCAAUUCAGCGGCGCUGGCCCUGGAUUUCUC
RNAcentral lists this long non-coding RNA (837 nucleotides) under Linum usitatissimum (flax). RNAcentral's name for it is "long non-coding RNA (LUSI_LNC006271)". Lineage: Eukaryota; Viridiplantae; Streptophyta; Magnoliopsida; Malpighiales; Linaceae. The record is from RNAcentral.